This 486-nucleotide ribosomal RNA is filed under the name bacterium ROME1186sa. RNAcentral's name for it is "bacterial SSU rRNA". It matches the Rfam family "Bacterial small subunit ribosomal RNA", at positions 8 to 498 of the family's 1533-position model. The record is from RNAcentral.
AGAGUUUGAUCAUGGCUCAGGACGAACGCUGGCGGUAUGCUUAACACAUGCAAGUCGAACGAGACGAGAUGGAAGUGCUUGCACUGAAAUCUUAGAAAGUGGCGAACGGGUGAGUAACGCGUGGGUAACCUGCCCUAUGGAAAGGAAUAGCCUCGGGAACCUGGGAGUAAUGCCUUAUAAUACAUUGAAGUCGCAUGGCUUUGAUGUUAAACGCUCCGGUGCCAUAGGAUGGACCCGCGUCCCAUUAGCUAGUUGGUGAGAUAACAGCCCACCAAGGCGACGAUGGGUAACCGGUCUGAGAGGGCGAACGGUCACACUGGAACUGAGACACGGUCCAGACUCCUACGGGAGGCAGCAGUGGGGAAUAUUGCGCAAUGGGGGCAACCCUGACGCAGCAAUACCGCGUGAGUGAAGAAGGUUUUCGGAUCGUAAAGCUCUGUUAUUGGGGAAGAAAAAAAGACGGUACCCAAGAAGAGAGUCCCGCCU